This 420-nucleotide ribosomal RNA is filed under the name uncultured eukaryote. RNAcentral's name for it is "SSU rRNA". It matches the Rfam family "Eukaryotic small subunit ribosomal RNA", at positions 592 to 1017 of the family's 1831-position model. The record is from RNAcentral.
CAAUAGCGUAUAUUAAAGUUGUUGCGGUUAAAAAGCUCGUAGUUGGAUUUCUGCUUGGGGCAACCGGUCCGCCCUCUGGGUGAGUAUCUGGCUUGGCCCGGGCAUCUUCUUGGGGAACGUUACUGCACUUGACUGUGUGGUGCGGAGCCCAGGACCUUUACUUUGAGGAAAUUAGAGUGUUUCAAGCAGGCAUACGCCUUGAAUACAUUAGCAUGGAAUAAUAAGAUAGGACCUCGGUUCUAUUUUGUUGGUUUCUAGAACUGAGGUAAUGAUUAAUAGGGAUAGUGGGGGCAUUCAUAUUUCAUUGUCAGAGGUGAAAUUCUUGGAUUUAUGAAAGAUGAACUUCUGCGAAAGCAUUUGCCAAGGAUGUUUUCAUUAAUCAAGAACGAAAGUUAGGGGAUCGAAGACGAUUAGAUACCA